GAUGAAGAACGUAGCGAAAUGCGAUAAGUAAUGCGAAUUGCAGAAUUCAGUGAAUCAUCGAAUCUUUGAACGCACAUUGCGCCCGCCAGUAUUCUGGCGGGCAUGCCUGUCUGAGCGUCGUUUCGACCCUCGCGCCCGGCUUCUGUCGGGGGCGGUGUUGGGGAUCGGCCACACCCUUCAGUGGGAGGCCGGCCCCUAAAUUCAGUGGCGACCACGCUGUAGCCUCCCCUGCGUAGUACUAAAACCACCUCGCAGGCGGAGAGCGGUGCGGCCCGCCGUAAAACCCCCCAACUUUUACAAGGUCGACCUCAGAUCAGGUAGGAAUACCCGCUGAACUUAAGCAUAUAAUAAGCGGAGGA
This 359-nucleotide unclassified non-coding RNA is filed under the name soil metagenome. RNAcentral describes it as "partial contains 5.8S ribosomal RNA, internal transcribed spacer 2, and large subunit ribosomal RNA". The stretch from base 1 to 120 matches the Rfam family "5.8S ribosomal RNA", at positions 35 to 154 of the family's 154-position model. The record is from RNAcentral.